This 600-nucleotide ribosomal RNA is filed under the name Microbacterium hatanonis. RNAcentral's name for it is "bacterial SSU rRNA". It matches the Rfam family "Bacterial small subunit ribosomal RNA", at positions 133 to 747 of the family's 1533-position model. The record is from RNAcentral. Lineage: Bacteria; Bacillati; Actinomycetota; Actinomycetes; Micrococcales; Microbacteriaceae.
UGACUCUGGGAUAACAGUUGGAAACAGCUGCUAAUACCGGAUAUGAGCUGCGACCGCAUGGUCGGCAGUUGGAAAGAAUUUCGGUCAGGGAUGAGCUCGCGGCCUAUCAGCUUGUUGGUGAGGUAAUGGCUCACCAAGGCGUCGACGGGUAGCCGGCCUGAGAGGGUGACCGGCCACACUGGGACUGAGACACGGCCCAGACUCCUACGGGAGGCAGCAGUGGGGAAUAUUGCACAAUGGGCGCAAGCCUGAUGCAGCAACGCCGCGUGAGGGACGACGGCCUUCGGGUUGUAAACCUCUUUUAGCAGGGAAGAAGCGAAAGUGACGGUACCUGCAGAAAAAGCACCGGCUAACUACGUGCCAGCAGCCGCGGUAAUACGUAGGGUGCAAGCGUUAUCCGGAAUUAUUGGGCGUAAAGAGCUCGUAGGCGGUUUGUCGCGUCUGCUGUGAAACCCCGAGGCUCAACCUCGGGCCUGCAGUGGGUACGGGCAGACUAGAGUGCGGUAGGGGAGAUUGGAAUUCCUGGUGUAGCGGUGGAAUGCGCAGAUAUCAGGAGGAACACCGAUGGCGAAGGCAGAUCUCUGGGCCGUAACUGACGCU